UGAUGAGUGAUAGACACCGAGGCACAAGGCGCAGAACUGUACGGAACCGAGGAAUGGAACUUCUUCCCAGGCACCAAGUUGCAAUAUCAUGGACAAGCAAUGGAAACCUGGAACCCUUCCUAACAGGAAAGAGCUUAAAUUCCAUCGAAG
Long non-coding RNA from Pristis pectinata (smalltooth sawfish), 150 nucleotides. RefSeq lists it as uncharacterized. The transcript is spliced from 3 exons. Lineage: Eukaryota; Metazoa; Chordata; Chondrichthyes; Rhinopristiformes; Pristidae. The record is from RefSeq and is a predicted model, not a curated record.